AUGGUUCUCGUCGUGCUCGCCGCCCUAUCCUAUGGCCUCCCUGCCACCCGCAGCGGCAUCGACUUCAUCGCCCGCACAUGCAAGAAGACCACUAACCCUGCGUUGUGCGUGGCUAUGCUAAGCGCUGACCCAAAGAGCGGCCACGCGUCCACUGAGCAUGACCUCGCCAGCGUGGCUCUGCAAAUCGCCACCAACACCGCCAAGAAGAACGCCGCGAUCAUCUGCGACCUAGGUGGCAGUACAUGCGAGAACGCGUUUAAGGGGAUCCACAAAAAAUCACCCAUGGCCGACAUGGAUCGCGAGACGAUGGAGCGAUGCGGUGUCGCCGGUGACCUCAUCGGCCUGCUCGUCGCCAAGUGA
RNAcentral lists this ribosomal RNA (360 nucleotides) under Triticum aestivum (bread wheat). Its description in RNAcentral is "partial small subunit ribosomal RNA". Lineage: Eukaryota; Viridiplantae; Streptophyta; Magnoliopsida; Poales; Poaceae. The record is from RNAcentral.